AUUGGGUGUGGUGGUGCAUGUCUAUAAUCCCAGCUGCCAGAUUGGUGAAGGCUGGUGAAUCUCUUGGGCUUCUGAGUUCUGAGCUUCAGUGAACUAAAGCUGAUCAGGUGUCCACACUAAGUGAGGCACCAAUAUGGUGAGCCCCUGGUAGUGAGGGAGCCACCAGGUUGUAUAAGGAAGGGUGAGCCGUUCAGGUCAAAAAAGGAGCAGGUCAAAGCUCCCAUGCAGGUCAGAGUGGGAUUGGACCCAGGAAUAGACCCUGACCAUGUACCCUGGCCAAGAUAGGAAGACUCCAUCUU
RNAcentral lists this signal recognition particle RNA (299 nucleotides) under Vombatus ursinus (common wombat). RNAcentral describes it as "Metazoan signal recognition particle RNA (ENSVURG00010023534.1)". It matches the Rfam family "Metazoan signal recognition particle RNA". From Rfam's summary of the family: The signal recognition particle (SRP) is a universally conserved ribonucleoprotein. The record is from RNAcentral. Lineage: Eukaryota; Metazoa; Chordata; Mammalia; Diprotodontia; Vombatidae.